GUGCUUGCACUCAAUUGGAAAGAGGAGUGGCGGACGGGUGAGUAACACGUGGGUAACCUACCCAUCAGAGGGGGAUAACACUUGGAAACAGGUGCUAAUACCGCAUAACAGUUUAUGCCGCAUGGCAUAAGAGUGAAAGGCGCUUUCGGGUGUCGCUGAUGGAUGGACCCGCGGUGCAUUAGCUAGUUGGUGAGGUAACGGCUCACCAAGGCCACGAUGCAUAGCCGACCUGAGAGGGUGAUCGGCCACACUGGGACUGAGACACGGCCCAGACUCCUACGGGAGGCAGCAGUAGGGAAUCUUCGACAAUGGACGAAAGUCUGACCGAGCAACGCCGCGUGAGUGAAGAAGGUUUUCGGAUCGUAAAACUCUGUUGUUAGAGAAGAACAAGGACGUUAGUAACUGAACGUCCCCUGACGGUAUCUAACCAGAAAGCCACGGCUAACUACGUGCCAGCAGCCGCGGUAAUACGUAGGUGGCAAGCGUUGUCCGGAUUUAUUGGGCGUAAAGCGAGCGCAGGCGGUUUCUUAAGUCUGAUGUGAAAGCCCCCGGCUCAACCGGGGAGGGUCAUUGGAAACUGGGAGACUUGAGUGCAGAAGAGGAGAGUGGAAUUCCAUGUGUAGCGGUGAAAUGCGUAGAUAUAUGGAGGAACACCAGUGGCGAAGGCGGCUCUCUGGUCUGUAACUGACGCUGAGGCUCGAAAGCGUGGGGAGCAA
RNAcentral lists this ribosomal RNA (716 nucleotides) under uncultured Bacilli bacterium. RNAcentral describes it as "bacterial SSU rRNA". It matches the Rfam family "Bacterial small subunit ribosomal RNA", at positions 69 to 771 of the family's 1533-position model. Lineage: Bacteria; Bacillati; Bacillota; Bacilli. The record is from RNAcentral.